Molecule: ribosomal RNA, 520 nt
Filed under: uncultured bacterium
Lineage: Bacteria
Description: bacterial SSU rRNA
Rfam family: Bacterial small subunit ribosomal RNA
Source: RNAcentral
AGAGUUUGAUCAUGGCUCAGAACGAACGCUGGCGGCGCGUUUAAGCAUGCAAGUCGAGCGGCAAGGGCCUUCGGGCCCCUAGAGCGGCGGACGGGUGAGUAGCACGUGGACAAUCUGCCCCCCGGCCCGGGAUAGCCCAGGGAAACCUGGAUUAAUACCGGAUGAGACGGGACCCGCGAUGGCGGGACCCGGGAAAGGCGCUGCGGCGCCGCCGGGGGAUGAGUCUGCGUCCCAUUAGCUAGACGGCGGGGUAACGGCCCACCGUGGCGACGAUGGGUAGCCGGCCUGAGAGGGUGGACGGCCACAUUGGAACUGAGACACGGUCCAGACUCCUACGGGAGGCAGCAGCUAAGAAUCUUCCGCAAUGGGCGAAAGCCUGACGGAGCGACGCCCGCGUGAACGAAGAAGGCCGUGAGGUUGUAAAGUUCUUUUCGGGAGGGGGAACAACCGUGGCAGGGAAUGGCCGCGGGAUGACGUGAAUCCCGGAAUAAGCCCCGGCUAACUACGUGCCAGCCGCUGC